Molecule: ribosomal RNA, 309 nt
Filed under: uncultured bacterium
Lineage: Bacteria
Description: bacterial SSU rRNA
Rfam family: Bacterial small subunit ribosomal RNA
Source: RNAcentral
AAUCAACGCUGGCGGCGUGCCUCAGACAUGCAAGUCGAACGACCAAACUUUCCUUCGGGAAAGAUAUAAAGUGGCGUACGGGUGAGUAACACGUAAGUAAUCUACCUUCGAGUGGGGAAUAACGUUCGGAAACGAACGCUAAUACCGCAUAAUGCAGCGGCAUCAAUGAUGACAGUUGUUAAAGAAUUUAUUCGCUUGAAGAGGAGCUUGCGGCAGAUUAGCUAGUUGGAAGGUAAAUGGCUUACCAAGGCUACGAUCUGUAUCCGGUCUAAGAGGACGGUCGGACACACUGACACUGAAUAACGGGUC